CAAUGCGGUAGUGCGGACGUUCCGAUCCGU
This 30-nucleotide small RNA is filed under the name Bombyx mori (domestic silkworm). RNAcentral's name for it is "ovarian small RNA-12871". The record is from RNAcentral. Lineage: Eukaryota; Metazoa; Arthropoda; Insecta; Lepidoptera; Bombycidae.